This 219-nucleotide ribosomal RNA is filed under the name uncultured bacterium. Its description in RNAcentral is "partial 16S ribosomal RNA". It matches the Rfam family "Bacterial small subunit ribosomal RNA", at positions 1282 to 1500 of the family's 1533-position model. The record is from RNAcentral.
GACGUCUCAGUUCGGAUUGCAGGCUGCAACUCGCCUGUAUGAAGUCGGAAUUGCUAGUAAUCGCGGAUCAGCAUGCCGCGGUGAAUACGUUCCCGGGCCUUGUACACACCGCCCGUCACACCAUGAGAGCCGGGAACACCCGAAGUCCGUAGUCUAACCGUAAGGAGGACGCGGCCGAAGGUGGGUUUGGUAAUUGGGGUGAAGUCGUAACAAGGUAUC